UCAACUGGUUCCAUCCCGACUUGACUUCCUUUCAUAUCUAGCCUAGAAGGCACUGUCCAUUCAACAUUCUCUUACCAAUGCUCUCAGCCUGCUUGCUGGAGGCUUAUUUUCACCGCACCUGUAAAUCUCAAACCCUGAACUAAUCCAACCACCCAUCUUCUUCCCGUGUCUCAUGCAGCCAAAUGUUUUCCAAAAUGAUAAACUAUUACCUUUCUGCUUUUACAUCAGCCCAAACAUACCAAAUGUAUACUACUUGGCAUUCAGCAGGCAUUUAAUUAAUACCUAUAACUUACUCUUCUAAAAUUAUUUCUAAAUACCCCAUAUCAGGUCAAAUUUCUCUACUUAAUGCUGACACCAUGCUUUGUGGAUUCUCAUCAGUUUGUGCCUGUCAGUCUGUUGAAAUACUCCUCUUUCUUCAAUAGGGAUCAACAGCAAAAUUCUGAGCUAUAUAGAGGCACCAUGUCUGUCUUCUUGGCACUGUAGGCCCAGCACUGAGUAGAGGCCUGGCACAGAGACGCUUGCAUUGGCGGGGGAGAAGCGGCAGGGCGAGGAGGCAGCCCGCGGGGCCAGUUCUCCGGACAUCCCCAAGACCUUGAAGGGACACUGGGUCAGAGGCAAGGUUCGCUUCCUUUCACCCGCUGCUACCGCCUGCCCUCCGAUUGGCUCCUCCGGGACACACGAACAAUACUAGACGCCGAUUGGCCCGGCUCCUGCCCGGGCAGCCGAGCCCGCAGACUCCGAAGGGGACUGACAAGGGCCUGGUGGAGGGCAGUCCAGGGACCGAGGCAGUUUAUAGGUCUCCAGAUCAAGAAGAGACGCAUCUGGACCUGAUGUGAAGACUAUGGUGAGAUCCUGAACUUUGAAACUGUUAUGAUUGGAUGACAUCCUUAACUUAUCCUCCGUGCAAUUUUCACCUCUUCAAUUUCAGCUUCCUGGUCUUCAAUUUUACUAUCAAAGAAGCAUGAACAAAAGAAUUUCAGCAAUAUCAGAAAAGUCACUAUUGAAGUAAAUGUAUAAAGUAACCCUUGAAAAAAGUAAAAUGCCUCUAUCUUAAUAAAAAUAUUCUACAGCUGACCACACCAAUGCAUUUACAAAUUUGAUAAACUGGUGCCUCCUGAGAUGCUUUUCUAAGUAUCUUCUUAAGGGGGAUGCCAAAAGUGGCAAUGUGACCACUCACAUAAGCACAUUUAAGUCUACACCCCAUGACAACAACUUCUCAAUACAUGCAUGACAAAUUACUUGAAAAAAUAAAGGAAAGGAAAAAGGAAGACAAUAUUCUAAGACAGAAAAUAUUACUAAGUCUUAGCAAAAACCUCAAAUAAAAUUUAAAAGUAUG
Molecule: non-coding RNA, 1336 nt
Organism: Equus caballus (horse)
Lineage: Eukaryota; Metazoa; Chordata; Mammalia; Perissodactyla; Equidae
Source: RefSeq, a predicted model, not a curated record